AGACCAUGUGCUUAGAGACUUGUAGAUUAAACCCAGGUCUCUGAUUCCUCACUAGUAUGUUUUCGUAAUAAUCCAUGGUUCUGACUGUUUAAAAGUAGCUUUUAUAUUUAUUGGGUAGAAAUAUCUUCCUGUAACAUAUGUCAUCUGCAGCUUCCAUAGAGGCAUCCUGUUGUAUGUAGUGGCCACAUAACAGACUGCAAAGAACUGGAACGCAGAGUAAUUUUAAUCCAAAAUGUUCAAAGAGAUGAAUGAAAUGAUAGGAUAGAAGCCUGGCGGAUAUCUGGACAGAACUAUGCAAGAGCCUUCCUGAGAAUGGAAGCCACAGGAGGGAAAACGGAACUUGGGAAAGGAAAGAGUAAAGUGGAAUUUCAAUGACAUCAUUUAAAUGCCUGGAUCCAAAAGUGUCUGGACAUUCAAUAUCAAAAUAUUUGCUUCUCACAUCAUAUUUCAGUGAUGUGAG
Homo sapiens (human) is the source of this 460-nucleotide long non-coding RNA. Lineage: Eukaryota; Metazoa; Chordata; Mammalia; Primates; Hominidae. The record is from Ensembl.